Molecule: ribosomal RNA, 253 nt
Filed under: uncultured bacterium
Lineage: Bacteria
Description: partial 16S ribosomal RNA
Rfam family: Bacterial small subunit ribosomal RNA
Source: RNAcentral
UACAGAGGUCUCGAGCGCUGUUCGGAUUCAUUGGGCGUAAAGGGCGCGUAGGCGGCGGGGUAAGUCUGGUGUGAAAUCUCGGAGCUCAACUCCGAAAUUGCACUGGAUACUGCUCUGCUAGAGGGCUGGAGAGGAGAUCGGAAUUCACGGUGUAGCAGUGAAAUGCGUAGAUAUCGUGAGGAAGACCAGUGGCGAAGGCGGAUCUCUGGACAGCUCCUGACGCUGAGGCGCGAAGGCUAGGGGAGCAAACGGG